ACCCGGAUGGCGGAACUGGUAGACGCGCUAGACUCAAAAUCUUGUUCUCGCAAGGGAGUGCAGGUUCGAUUCCUGUUCCGGGUACUA
RNAcentral lists this transfer RNA (87 nucleotides) under Filimonas effusa. RNAcentral's name for it is "Filimonas sp. TTM-71 tRNA-Leu". It matches the Rfam family "tRNA". Rfam says of the family: Transfer RNA (tRNA) molecules are approximately 80 nucleotides in length. Their secondary structure includes four short double-helical elements and three loops (D, anti-codon, and T loops). The record is from RNAcentral. Lineage: Bacteria; Pseudomonadati; Bacteroidota; Chitinophagia; Chitinophagales; Chitinophagaceae.